This 429-nucleotide long non-coding RNA is filed under the name Rattus norvegicus (Norway rat). RNAcentral describes it as "long non-coding RNA NONRATT023353". Lineage: Eukaryota; Metazoa; Chordata; Mammalia; Rodentia; Muridae. The record is from RNAcentral.
AACAGCGCUCCCGCUCUCAGAACAUCACCUACCUGCCAGCAGGGCAGUCCGUGCUCCUCCAGCUCCCCCAGUGAGGCUAACCAGGCCAUGGCCUCCAUCGCUCUGAAUGACACCUUCCUUCUUCCCUACCCCAGAAAUCACUGAAAUUUAAUGAUUGGCUUAACGUGAAGGAAAUAAAGGUAAAAUCACUUCAGAUCUCUAAUUAUCAAAUGAAGCUUUUAUUGUUACACUUUUUGCCCACUUUCAUAUCCGAAAUUGCCAAGUGCCUAUGCAGACUGGCCUAUCACCCUGGGCGCUGGCAGUUGGGGGAAGAAAGGCAGGGCAGUGUGUGUGGUGGACCGGGAGCCAGCUGGCAGCCUGAGUAGACCUGGAGCCUCCAUUCUGCUAUAUAUUGAAGAUUUACAGACAGUGGUGCACACAUGUGAACCA